This 391-nucleotide ribosomal RNA is filed under the name uncultured bacterium. RNAcentral describes it as "bacterial SSU rRNA". It matches the Rfam family "Bacterial small subunit ribosomal RNA", at positions 28 to 417 of the family's 1533-position model. The record is from RNAcentral.
GAUGAACGCUGGCGGCGUGCUUAACACAUGCAAGUCGAACGGUGAAGCCCAGCUUGCUGGGUGGAUCAGUGGCGAACGGGUGAGUAACACGUGAGCAAUCUGCCCCUGACUCUGGGAUAAGCGCUGGAAACGGCGUCUAAUACUGGAUAUGAACCGUGGAGGCAUCUUCAACGGUUGGAAAGAUUUUUUGGUCAGGGAUGAGCUCGCGGCCUAUCAGCUUGUUGGUGAGGUAAUGGCUCACCAAGGCGUCGACGGGUAGCCGGCCUGAGAGGGUGACCGGCCACACUGGGACUGAGACACGGCCCAGACUCCUACGGGAGGCAGCAGUGGGGAAUAUUGCACAAUGGGCGCAAGCCUGAUGCAGCAACGCCGCGUUGAGGGAUGACGGCCU